This 3071-nucleotide ribosomal RNA is filed under the name Patescibacteria group bacterium. RNAcentral describes it as "23S ribosomal RNA". It matches the Rfam family "Bacterial large subunit ribosomal RNA". The record is from RNAcentral.
AUAUAAGUUACUCAAGUGCAUAGAAUGGAUGCCUCGACACCAAACUUCGAUGAAGGACGUGAUUAACUGCGAUAAGCCUCGGUGAGCUGUUCAAUAAGCUUUGACCCGGGGAUUUCCGAAUGGGGAAACCUUACCGGAGUAAUGUCCGGUAGCCUCCACUUUAUUGUGGGGGAGAUUACUGGGGGAACUGAAACAUCUUAGUACCCCAGGAAAAGAAAGCAACCGCGAUUCCCAAAGUAGCGGCGAGCGAAAUGGGAACAGCCCAAACUUCUUGUGCGUGAUAGGUUACAGCCGUUUCACAAGGAGUGUUAUAGGAGCGCUGACUGUUAACUGUAAGUGACGGCAAUAUGUUGUUCUGUUAUUCGAAUGAGCCUGGAAAGGCCAACCAAAGACGGUAAUAGUCCGGUAGAUUAAAACAGGUCAAUAUGUUGAUGCGAUUUCCUGAGUAGGGUCGGACACGUGAAAUCCGGCUUGAAUUCGGGAGGACCACCUCCCAAGGCUAAACAGGUUUGGUGAUCAAUAGUGAACUAGUACCGCGAGGGAAAGGUGAAAAGCACCCCGGUUAGGGGGAUGAAAUAGACCCUGAAAUUCUAUGCAUACAACGAGUGGGAGCCCUUUGGGGUGACCGCGUACUUAUUGGAGAACGGACCAUCGAGUUAGCUGUAUGGCGCAUUAGGUUAAGGGAGUUACACCCGAAGCCAUAGUGAAAGCGAGCCUGAAUAGGGCGAAAUCAGUGUCAUACACUAGACCCGAAACCGAGUGAGCUACCCAUGGACAGGCUGAAGAUCAUCUAGCGAUGAUUGGAGGGCCGAACACACGGAUGUUGCAAGAUCCGGUGAUGAUCUGUGGGUAGUGAUGAAAUUUCUAUCGAACUCGGAGAUAGCUGGUUCUCCCCGAUAUAGUUUUUGGACUAGCCUUUUGUUAAAGCCGUCAGGGGUAGAGCUCUGUUUAGGCUAGGGGACGAAAUAAGUCUACCAAACCUAGAUAAACUUCGAAUACUGAAGGCCUCUUUCAAGGGAGUCAGUCCGGGACAGCCAAGUGCCUCGGACGUGAGGGGAACAGCCCAGAUCGUCGUCUAAGGUCCCUAAUAGAAUCUAAGUGUUAAAGGAUGUGAAAUUACUUGUACAACCAGGAGGUUGGCUUAGAAGCAGCCAUCCUUUAAAGAAAGCGUAAUAGCUCACUGGUCUAUGUGAUUUCGCGCCGAAAAUUCAACGGGGCUCAAGAUUCUAACCGAAGACACGAGUUUGGUAGUGUGAACUUUGUUCGUUUUGAUAGCGAAUAAGGUUCACACUGCCAAGCGGUAGGGGAGCGUUCUUAUUGCAGUGAAGCUGCGCUGUAAGGCGUGGUGGAGCGAUAAGAAGUGAAAAUGAUGGUAUGAGUAACGUUUUAAGCUCGAUGAAAAAUCGGGCCACCGAAAACCCAAGGUUUCCCAAGCAACGUUAAUCGACUUGGGGUUAGUCGGUCCUAAGGUGAGGCCGAAAGGCGUAGCUGAUGGAUAACAGGUUAAUAUUCCUGUACAACCUUAUUUUCGCCCAAGCAAAACAUUUUGCAACUACUGAAGCCAAUUUCUCACUUCGGUGAGAAUGCGGACGACGUGGAAGCGGAUGUGGCGCUAGCUCAGGGGGGACGCAUCAGGAUAUUUGGAGCGUGUUAAUGAAUUCACGUACAAGUGUUUAGCUUAUGCUUUCGCAGGUAAAUCCGCGAGAGUUCGCGAGGCAUUAUGUAAAACACUUCCCGCGAGGGGAGCGAUUCCAAAGACUUCAGGUGCCAAGAAAAUCCCCGGUAGCGAGAAAAUGAGGUUACCGUACCGCAAACCAACGCUGGUGGGUAGGUAGAGAAUACUAAGGUGAUCGGGAUAACUUGCGCUAAGGAACUCGGCAAUACAGCAGGUGUAACUUCGGGAUAAACCUUGCCGUCUGAAAGCAUUUUAUGUUUUUCAUUCGGCCUCAGUAAAUGACUUCACGCAACUGUUUACCAAAAACACAGGUCUCUGCAAAUCCGUAAGGAUAUGUAUAGGGGCUGACGCCUGCCCAGUGCCAGAAGGUCAAGAGGAGGGGUGUAUGCUCUGAAUCUAAGCCCUGGUGAACGGCGGCCGUAACUAUAACGGUCCUAAGGUAGCGAAAUUCCUUGUCGGGUAAGUUCCGACCCGCACGAAUGGCGUAAUGGUGUGAAGACUGUCUCGGCGCAAGACCCGGUGAAAUUACAUUAUUGGUAAAAAUGCCAAUUAACCAUGGUAGGGCGAAAAGACCCCGUGCAGCUUUACUACAGCUUGACAUUGAGUCGAGAUAUAUUUUGCGCAGGAUAGAUGGGAGGCUAUGAAGCAUAGACUUUGGUCUGUGUGGAGCCAUCCUUGAGAUACCAUCCUUGAUAUAUUUUGCCUCUAACUUGCAGCGUUAAUCCGCUGUAAAGACAGUGUUUGGUGGGUAGUUUGACUGGGGCGGUUGCCUCCUAAAGAGUAACGGAGGCGCGCAAAGGUUCCCUAAGUCUGGAUGGAAAUCAGACUGAUAGUGUAAUCGCACAAGGGAGCUUAACUGUAAGACUGACACGUCGAACAGAUGCGAAAGCAGGUGAUAGUGAUCCGAUAUUUCCACGUGGGUGGGAUAUCGCUCAUCGGACAAAAGUUACGCCGGGGAUAACAGGCUGAUAGCGCCCAAGAGUUCAUAUCGACGGCGCUGUUUGGCACCUCGAUGUCGGCUCGUCGCAUCCUGGGGCUGGAGAAGGUCCCAAGGGUUGGGCUGUUCGCCCAUUAAAGCGGUACGCGAGCUGGGUUCAGACCGUCGUGAGACAGGUCGGCCUCUACCCUCCAUGGUCGCAGGAAAUUUGAGAGAAGUUGCCCCUAGUACGAGAGGACCGGGGCGAACGAACCUCUAGUGUAUCAGUUGUCGUGUCAACGGCACUGCUGAGUAGCUAUGUUCGGACGGGAUAACCGCUGAAAGCAUCUAAGUGGGAAGCCCUGCUCAAGAUUAGAUUUCCCCAUAGUCUCCUGGAAGAUUACCAGGUUGAUAGGCUUCAGGUGUAAGCACAGUGAUGUGUUCAGCCGAGAAGUACUAAUAGACAAUUGUCUUAUAUAU